UAAGAAAUCGACUCUAUGGCCCUGUCAAACGACAGGGAGGAAAGUCCAGGCAUCGCAGUAGAGCGCAGUUGUUGUAAAACAACCGGACGUAAGUCUAGGGAAAGUGCAACAGAAAUAUACCGCUUCACCGCGUGUAGCGCAGUGAGUUAAUAAAGCUAAAAGUCCGUAAAGUCAAUAAAGUAAUUCAAUAAAAUACUUUACAGACUUUAUACUUUACAAACUUUAUAAACUUGCCGCGCUAUGCGUGGCGGGGUAAGGGUGAAAUCGCGAGGUAAGAGCUCACGGUCGUGCAUAGUAAUAUGCACGAUAGGUAAACCCUGCGUGGUGCAAGUUGGGUGGGUCCGACCAUCAUCAACGCCGACUACUCGGUAGAUGACCACGGAUCCCAACGCGCUCCGUCGUAACAAUCGGAGCUCCGUCAUUGCUCUGCAAUCGUCGGAGAAGAUAGAUCAUAGGGUAAAACAGAACCUGGCUUAUCGGCUUCUUAAGGU
This 491-nucleotide RNase P RNA is filed under the name Candidatus Berkelbacteria bacterium CG2_30_43_20. RNAcentral describes it as "RNase P RNA component class A". It matches the Rfam family "Bacterial RNase P class A". From Rfam's summary of the family: Ribonuclease P (RNase P) is a ubiquitous endoribonuclease, found in archaea, bacteria and eukarya as well as chloroplasts and mitochondria. The record is from RNAcentral. RNAcentral also lists the same sequence under 3 other names. Lineage: Bacteria; Candidatus Berkelbacteria.